RNAcentral lists this non-coding RNA (23 nucleotides) under Arabidopsis thaliana (thale cress). Lineage: Eukaryota; Viridiplantae; Streptophyta; Magnoliopsida; Brassicales; Brassicaceae. The record is from RNAcentral.
AGGUGGAAAUGAUGAUAUUUCUA